UACGUAGGGUGCAAGCGUUGUCCGGAAUUAUUGGGCGUAAAGAGCUCGUAGGCGGUUUGUCGCGUCGAAUGUGAAAACCCGGGGCUCAACCCCGGGCCUGCAUUCGAUACGGGCAGACUAGAGUUCGGUAGGGGAGUCUGGAAUUCCUGGUGUAGCGGUGAAAUGCGCAGAUAUCAGGAGGAACACCGGUGGCGAAGGCGGUCUCCUGGGGCAUUCUUGACGCUGAGGAGCGAAAGCGUGGGGAGCGAACAGG
RNAcentral lists this ribosomal RNA (253 nucleotides) under uncultured bacterium. RNAcentral describes it as "partial 16S ribosomal RNA". It matches the Rfam family "Bacterial small subunit ribosomal RNA", at positions 524 to 776 of the family's 1533-position model. The record is from RNAcentral.